Molecule: ribosomal RNA, 475 nt
Filed under: uncultured bacterium
Lineage: Bacteria
Description: SSU rRNA
Rfam family: Bacterial small subunit ribosomal RNA
Source: RNAcentral
AGGAUCAACGCUGGCGGCGUGCCUAAUGCAUGCAAGUCGAACGGGGUUCCCUUCGGGGGACGCACGUGGCGGACGGGUGAGGAACACGUGGCCAAUCUGCCCGGAGGCAGGGGGUAGCCCGCGGAAACGCGGGGUAAUUCCGUAUGCGCUCGCUCCCCGAGUGGGGGGUGGCGAGCAAAGGCGCAAGCCGCCUUCGGAGGAGGCUGCGGCCGAUUAGCUGGUUGGUGGGGUAAUGGCCUACCAAGGCGAUGAUCGGUAGCUGGUCUGAGAGGACGAUCAGCCACACGGGGGACUGAGACACGGCCCCGACUCCUACGGGAGGCAGCAGCAAGGAAUUUUCCGCAAUGGGCGCAAGCCUGACGGAGCAACGCCGCGUGCGGGAUGACGCUUUUCGGAGUGUAAACCGCUGUUCGGGGGACGAAGCACUGACGGUACCCCCGGAGGAAGGCCCGGCUAACUACGUGCCAGCAGCCGC